This 662-nucleotide long non-coding RNA is filed under the name Homo sapiens (human). RNAcentral's name for it is "non-protein coding lnc-IQUB-3:3". The record is from RNAcentral. Lineage: Eukaryota; Metazoa; Chordata; Mammalia; Primates; Hominidae.
GGCGCUGUCAUGGCGGGUGUGCUGAAGAAGACCACUGGCCUUGUGGGAUUGGCUGUGUGCAAUACUCCUCACGAGAAAUUCAAAUAAGAAAAAUUAAAAAAAAAAAUUUGCAGUGCUUCGGACCUCACUUUGAAAAAUACUGAUUCAGGCUGGGUGGGCUCACGCCUGUAAUCCCAGCACUUUGGGAGGCUGAGGUGGGCGGAUCACCUGAAGUCAGGAGUUUGAGACCAUCCUGGCCAACAUGGCAAAACCCUGUCUCUACUAAAAAUAGAAAAAAUAGCCAGAGGCUAAGAAUAUUGUACACAAAGAUUCUUGAUGUUCUUGAGGAAAUCCCUAAAAAUGCAGCAUAUAGAAAGUAUACAGAACAGAUUACAAAUGAGAAGCUGGCUAUGGUUAAAGCGGUAAGUAGCUAAGUCAGUUUUGUUGUCUUGUGUAACAUUUAACCAAAAAAGUUUAGUUCCUUAUUUUUUAUAUAUUCGACACACUUUUCUUCUAUUCUCCUUCCUUGAAUGCUCUUUUCCCAUCAUUCCUCCCUUUUAUUCAGCAAACUCUUGUUUAUUGAGUGUUUUCUAUAUGCAGGCCUCUGUUACAUACUGGAGUUUGAGACUAGGAUCAGAUCCUUCCUUGAAGUAACAUUGUAGCUGUUCCUUUUACCUCUCUUC